AGUGGCGAACGGGUGAGUAACACGUGGGCAACCUGCCCAAAAGAGGGGGAUAACACUUGGAAACAGGUGCUAAUACCGCAUAACCAUAGUUACCGCAUGGUAACUAUGUAAAAGGUGGCUAUGCUACCGCUUUUGGAUGGGCCCGCGGCGCAUUAGCUAGUUGGUGGGGUAAAGGCUUACCAAGGCAAUGAUGCGUAGCCGAACUGAGAGGUUGAUCGGCCACAUUGGGACUGAGACACGGCCCAAACUCCUACGGGAGGCAGCAGUAGGGAAUCUUCCACAAUGGGCGAAAGCCUGAUGGAGCAACGCCGCGUGGGUGAAGAAGGUCUUCGGAUCGUAAAACCCUGUUGUUAGAGAAGAAAGUGCGUGAGAGUAACUGUUCACGUUUCGACGGUAUCUAACCAGAAAGCCACGGCUAACUACGUGCCAGCAGCCGCGGUAAUACGUAGGUGGCAAGCGUUAUCCGGAUUUAUUGGGCGUAAAGGGAACGCAGGCGGUGCGGCAAGUCUGAUGUGAAAGCCCGGGGCUCAACCCCGGGACUGCAUUGGAAACUACCGAACUAGAGUGUCGGAGAGGUAAGUGGAAUUCCUAGUGUAGCGGUGAAAUGCGUAGAUAUUAGGAGGAACACCAGUGGCGAAGGCGGCUUACUGGACGAUAACUGACGCUNAGGCUCGAAAGCGUGGGGAGCAAACAGGAUUANAUACCCUGGUA
RNAcentral lists this ribosomal RNA (711 nucleotides) under uncultured bacterium. Its description in RNAcentral is "bacterial SSU rRNA". It matches the Rfam family "Bacterial small subunit ribosomal RNA", at positions 94 to 792 of the family's 1533-position model. The record is from RNAcentral.